NNNNNNNNNNNNGAUCUGGCUGCAACAUCUGUCACCCUAUUGAUCACCAGGGUUGACUCGGCUGAUCUGGCUGGCUAGGCGGGUGUCCCCUUCCUCCCUCACCGCUCCAUGUGUGUCCCUCCCAAAGCUGUGCACUCAGUCAAAGAGAACGACCUUCCCUGAGUAGAGGAGCACCGGUCUUCAGUCAAGGGUACAAGAGUAGCUAUGCUCCCCUGCUAGAACCUCCAAACAAGCUCUCAAAAUACACGGCCAUCCUUUGCUACAUAUCAAGAUAAAGGGUAACCUGGGCUAAUGAGACCUUGUCUCAAAAAUGUUU
Molecule: small RNA, 316 nt
Filed under: Jaculus jaculus (lesser Egyptian jerboa)
Lineage: Eukaryota; Metazoa; Chordata; Mammalia; Rodentia; Dipodidae
Description: 7SK RNA (ENSJJAG00000006675.1)
Rfam family: 7SK RNA
About the family: 7SK was discovered as an abundant small nuclear RNA in the mid-70s but a possible function has only recently been suggested. Two independent studies have found that 7SK RNA binds the CDK9/cyclin T complex (known as elongation factor P-TEFb). P-TEFb activates transcription by phosphorylating the C-terminal domain of RNA polymerase II.
Source: RNAcentral